GUCAUGUAGCGGUUAUCAUGUCUGCCUUCCAAGCAGUCGAUCCGGGUUCGACUCCCGGC
Molecule: non-coding RNA, 59 nt
Organism: Trichobilharzia regenti
Lineage: Eukaryota; Metazoa; Platyhelminthes; Trematoda; Strigeidida; Schistosomatidae
Source: Rfam